GCUCAUGUAGCUCAGGGGUAGAGCACUCCCUUGGUAAGGGAGAGGUCGACGGUUCAAUUCCGUCCAUGAGCU
This 72-nucleotide transfer RNA is filed under the name Halotalea alkalilenta. It matches the Rfam family "tRNA". Rfam says of the family: Transfer RNA (tRNA) molecules are approximately 80 nucleotides in length. Lineage: Bacteria; Pseudomonadati; Pseudomonadota; Gammaproteobacteria; Oceanospirillales; Halomonadaceae. The record is from Rfam by way of RNAcentral.